GUUUCAGGGCGGGGUGAAAUUCCCCACCGGCGGUGAGCAGCCAAGCGCUGUACAGCCCGCGACCAUCCGGCAUCUGCCGGGUGCUGAUUCGGUGAAAUUCCGAAGCCGACGGUAUAGUCCGGAUGGAAGAAA
Molecule: non-coding RNA, 132 nt
Filed under: uncultured Gemmiger sp.
Lineage: Bacteria; Bacillati; Bacillota; Clostridia; Eubacteriales; Oscillospiraceae
Description: FMN riboswitch (RFN element)
Rfam family: FMN riboswitch aptamer (RFN element)
About the family: The RFN element is a highly conserved domain that is found frequently in the 5'-untranslated regions of prokaryotic mRNAs that encode for flavin mononucleotide (FMN) biosynthesis and transport proteins.
Source: RNAcentral